UAAAUAAUAAAGACAGUAUAUGAAUAUAAAUGAAUUUAUGUUACUGAAUUAAAACUUUAUAUGAGUUUUCCAGUCGUAUGUUGAAUAAGACGAAUGACCAAACGCUAAGUUAAUAAUAAGAAAUAAGAUUACACUGUAGAUUGAGAAAUUUAAAGUAAAUAAAAAAUACAUUAUACAAUAAAUAUAAAACUGAAAAAUAAAUUUUAUGGCAAUUUCGUGUCGCGAGGACUUAUCAAGUGACAACCUUGUUUAAAUGUUUUUAAAUUAGGAAAAAUGACUAUAAGUACUAUUAAAGGAGCGAAU
This 303-nucleotide small RNA is filed under the name Staphylococcus aureus. Its description in RNAcentral is "HMPRFS0000_2364". The record is from RNAcentral. Lineage: Bacteria; Bacillati; Bacillota; Bacilli; Caryophanales; Staphylococcaceae.